This 482-nucleotide ribosomal RNA is filed under the name uncultured bacterium. Its description in RNAcentral is "bacterial SSU rRNA". It matches the Rfam family "Bacterial small subunit ribosomal RNA", at positions 29 to 506 of the family's 1533-position model. The record is from RNAcentral.
UUGAACGCUGGCGGAAUGCUUUACACAUGCAAGUCGAGCGGCAGCGCGGGGGCAACCCUGGCGGCGAGCGGCGAACGGGUGAGUAACAUAUCGGAACGUACCCUAUCGUGGGGGAUAACACAUCGAAAGAUGUGCUAAUACCGCAUACGACCUGAGGGUGAAAGCAGGGGAUCGCAAGACCUUGCGCGACAGGAGCGGCCGAUAUCGGAUUAGCUAGUUGGUGAGGUAAAGGCUCACCAAGGCGACGAUCCGUAGCUGGUCUGAGAGGACGACCAGCCACACUGGAACUGAGACACGGUCCAGACUCCUACGGGAGGCAGCAGUGGGGAAUUUUGGACAAUGGGCGCAAGCCUGAUCCAGCCAUGCCGCGUGCGGGACGAAGGCCUUCGGGUUGUAAACCGCUUUCAGCCGGAAAGAAAUCGUCAAGGCUAAUAUCCUUGAUGGAUGACGGUACCGGAAGAAGAAGCACCGGCUAACUACGU